Molecule: ribosomal RNA, 410 nt
Filed under: Halomonas sp.
Lineage: Bacteria; Pseudomonadati; Pseudomonadota; Gammaproteobacteria; Oceanospirillales; Halomonadaceae
Description: partial 16S ribosomal RNA
Rfam family: Bacterial small subunit ribosomal RNA
Source: RNAcentral
AUUACUGGGGCGUAAGCGCGCGUAGGUGGCUUGAUAAGCCGGUUGUGAAAGCCCCGGGCUCAACCUGGGAACGGCAUCCGGAACUGUCAGGCUAGAGUGCAGGAGAGGAAGGUAGAAUUCCCGGUGUAGCGGUGAAAUGCGUAGAGAUCGGGAGGAAUACCAGUGGCGAAGGCGGCCUUCUGGACUGACACUGACCCUGAGGUGCGAAAGCCGUGGGGUAGCAAACAGGAUUAAAAUACCCUGGGUAGUCCCACGCCCGUAAACGAAGUCGAACUAGCCGGUGGGUUCCUUGGAGAACUUUGGGGGCCAAUUAACCCCAUAAAUUCCACCCGCCGGGGGAGUACCGCCCCCAGGGUAAAAAUCAAAAUAAAUUGGGGGGGGGCCCCCAAAACCGGGGGAACAGGGGGUUU